RNAcentral lists this ribosomal RNA (255 nucleotides) under uncultured bacterium. RNAcentral's name for it is "partial small subunit ribosomal RNA". It matches the Rfam family "Bacterial small subunit ribosomal RNA", at positions 26 to 285 of the family's 1533-position model. The record is from RNAcentral.
AGGACGAACGCUGGCGGCGUGCUUAACACAUGCAAGUCGAGCGGAAAGGCCCUUCGGGGUACUCGAGCGGCGAACGGGUGAGUAACACGUGGGCAACCUGCCCCUAGCUCUGGGAUAACUCCGGGAAACCGGUGCUAAUACCGGAUACGACCUCAUUAGGCAUCCUUUGAGGUGGAAAGAUUUAUUGGCUAGGGAUGGGCCCGCGGCCUAUCAGCUUGUUGGUGGGGUAAUGGCCUACCAAGGCGACGACGGGUA